RNAcentral lists this unclassified non-coding RNA (152 nucleotides) under uncultured Ascomycota. RNAcentral describes it as "sequence contains ITS2". Lineage: Eukaryota; Fungi; Ascomycota. The record is from RNAcentral.
CCCGACCCGUCGAGCCCUGCUCGUGCUGGGGCCCUGCGGCAGCCCGCAGGCCCCGAAAGGAAGUGGCGGGGCCGCGCCCGCACCGAGCGUAGUAGCAACGCGCCGCUCCGGCGCGGCGGCGGACCCCGGCCGUGAAAGCCCAGCCCGUACCA